AGUCGAGCGAACGGACGAGAAGCUUGCUUCUCUGAUGUUAGCGGCGGACGGGUGAGUAACACGUGGAUAACCUACCUAUAAGACUGGGAUAACUUCGGGAAACCGUAGCUAAUACCGGAUAAUAUUUUGAACCGCAUGGUUCAAAAGUGAAAGACGGUCUUGCUGUCACUUAUAGAUGGAUCCGCGCUGCAUUAGCUAGUUGGUAAGGUAACGGCUUACCAAGGCAACGAUGCAUAGCCGACCUGAGAGGGUGAUCGGCCACACUGGAACUGAGACACGGUCCAGACUCCUACGGGAGGCAGCAGUAGGGAAUCUUCCGCAAUGGGCGAAAGCCUGACGGAGCAACGCCGCGUGAGUGAUGAAGGUCUUCGGAUCGUAAAACUCUGUUAUUAGGGAAGAACAUAUGUGUAAGUAACUGUGCACAUCUUGACGGUACCUAAUCAGAAAGCCACGGCUAACUACGUGCCAGCAGCCGCGGUAAUACGUAGGUGGCAAGCGUUAUCCGGAAUUAUUGGGCGUAAAGCGCGCGUAGGCGGUUUUUUAAGUCUGAUGUGAAAGCCCACGGCUCAACCGUGGAGGGUCAUUGGAAACUGGAAAACUUGAGUGCAGAAGAGGAAAGUGGAAUUCCAUGUGUAGCGGUGAAAUGCGCAGAGACAUGGAGGAACACCAGUGGCGAAGGCGACUUUCUGGUCUGUAACUGACGCUGAUGUGCGAAAGCG
RNAcentral lists this ribosomal RNA (719 nucleotides) under uncultured Staphylococcus sp. RNAcentral's name for it is "bacterial SSU rRNA". It matches the Rfam family "Bacterial small subunit ribosomal RNA", at positions 60 to 761 of the family's 1533-position model. Lineage: Bacteria; Bacillati; Bacillota; Bacilli; Caryophanales; Staphylococcaceae. The record is from RNAcentral.